RNAcentral lists this non-coding RNA (186 nucleotides) under Tissierella praeacuta. Lineage: Bacteria; Bacillati; Bacillota; Tissierellia; Tissierellales; Tissierellaceae. RNAcentral also lists the same sequence under 1 other name. The record is from RNAcentral.
UUUAAUAUUUUGACCGUUGGUAUAAUCUUAUAUAGGAUUAUUUAAAAGGGAAGUUCGGUUAAAAUCCGACACGGUCCCGCCACUGUGAUAGAUAGAAUCUUAGGAACACCACUGUACUAAUUGUAUGGGAAGGUAUAAGAUUUGUUACUCUUAAGUCAGGAGACCUGCCAAUGGAAAAAACGCUGU